RNAcentral lists this ribosomal RNA (2904 nucleotides) under Klebsiella aerogenes MGH 61. RNAcentral describes it as "bacterial LSU rRNA". It matches the Rfam family "Bacterial large subunit ribosomal RNA". The record is from RNAcentral. Lineage: Bacteria; Pseudomonadati; Pseudomonadota; Gammaproteobacteria; Enterobacterales; Enterobacteriaceae.
UUAAGCGACUAAGCGUACACGGUGGAUGCCCUGGCAGUCAGAGGCGAUGAAGGACGUGCUAAUCUGCGAAAAGCGUCGGUAAGGUGAUAUGAACCGUUACAGCCGGCGAUGUCCGAAUGGGGAAACCCAGUGCAAUUCGUUGCACUAUCGUUAACUGAAUACAUAGGUUAACGAGGCGAACCGGGGGAACUGAAACAUCUAAGUACCCCGAGGAAAAGAAAUCAACCGAGAUUCCCCCAGUAGCGGCGAGCGAACGGGGAGCAGCCCAGAGUCUGAAUCAGCUUGUGUGUUAGUGGAACGGUCUGGAAAGUCCGACGGUACAGGGUGAUAGUCCCGUACACCAAAAUGCACAGGCUGUGAACUCGAAGAGUAGGGCGGGACACGUGGUAUCCUGUCUGAAUAUGGGGGGACCAUCCUCCAAGGCUAAAUACUCCUGACUGACCGAUAGUGAACCAGUACCGUGAGGGAAAGGCGAAAAGAACCCCGGCGAGGGGAGUGAAAAAGAACCUGAAACCGUGUACGUACAAGCAGUGGGAGCACCUUCGGGUGUGACUGCGUACCUUUUGUAUAAUGGGUCAGCGACUUAUAUUCUGUAGCAAGGUUAACCGUAUAGGGGAGCCGCAGGGAAACCGAGUCUUAACUGGGCGUUAAGUUGCAGGGUAUAGACCCGAAACCCGGUGAUCUAGCCAUGGGCAGGUUGAAGGUUGGGUAACACUAACUGGAGGACCGAACCGACUAAUGUUGAAAAAUUAGCGGAUGACUUGUGGCUGGGGGUGAAAGGCCAAUCAAACCGGGAGAUAGCUGGUUCUCCCCGAAAGCUAUUUAGGUAGCGCCUCGUGAACUCAUCUUCGGGGGUAGAGCACUGUUUCGGCUAGGGGGUCAUCCCGACUUACCAACCCGAUGCAAACUACGAAUACCGAAGAAUGUUAUCACGGGAGACACACGGCGGGUGCUAACGUCCGUCGUGAAGAGGGAAACAACCCAGACCGCCAGCUAAGGUCCCAAAGUCACAGUUAAGUGGGAAACGAUGUGGGAAGGCACAGACAGCCAGGAUGUUGGCUUAGAAGCAGCCAUCAUUUAAAGAAAGCGUAAUAGCUCACUGGUCGAGUCGGCCUGCGCGGAAGAUGUAACGGGGCUAAACUGUGCACCGAAGCUGCGGCAGCGACACUUAGGUGUUGUUGGGUAGGGGAGCGUUCUGUAAGCCUGCGAAGGUGGCCUGUGAGGGUUGCUGGAGGUAUCAGAAGUGCGAAUGCUGACAUAAGUAACGAUAAUGCGGGUGAAAAGCCCGCACGCCGGAAGACCAAGGGUUCCUGUCCAACGUUAAUCGGGGCAGGGUGAGUCGACCCCUAAGGCGAGGCCGAAAGGCGUAGUCGAUGGGAAACAGGUUAAUAUUCCUGUACUUGGUGUUACUGCGAAGGGGGGACGGAGAAGGCUAUGUUAGCCGGGCGACGGUUGUCCCGGUUUAAGCAUGUAGGCGGAGGUUCCAGGUAAAUCCGGUACCUUUUUAACGCUGAGGUGUGAUGACGAGGCACUACGGUGCUGAAGUAACAAAUGCCCUGCUUCCAGGAAAAGCCUCUAAGCAUCAGGUAACAUUAAAUCGUACCCCAAACCGACACAGGUGGUCAGGUAGAGAAUACCAAGGCGCUUGAGAGAACUCGGGUGAAGGAACUAGGCAAAAUGGUGCCGUAACUUCGGGAGAAGGCACGCUGAUAUGUAGGUGAAGCCCCUGCGGGUGGAGCUGAAAUCAGUCGAAGAUACCAGCUGGCUGCAACUGUUUAUUAAAAACACAGCACUGUGCAAACACGAAAGUGGACGUAUACGGUGUGACGCCUGCCCGGUGCCGGAAGGUUAAUUGAUGGGGUUAUCCGUAAGGAGAAGCUCUUGAUCGAAGCCCCGGUAAACGGCGGCCGUAACUAUAACGGUCCUAAGGUAGCGAAAUUCCUUGUCGGGUAAGUUCCGACCUGCACGAAUGGCGUAAUGAUGGCCAGGCUGUCUCCACCCGAGACUCAGUGAAAUUGAACUCGCUGUGAAGAUGCAGUGUACCCGCGGCAAGACGGAAAGACCCCGUGAACCUUUACUAUAGCUUGACACUGAACAUUGAGCCUUGAUGUGUAGGAUAGGUGGGAGGCUUUGAAGCGUGGACGCCAGUCUGCGUGGAGCCAACCUUGAAAUACCACCCUUUAAUGUUUGAUGUUCUAACGUUGGCCCCUUAUCGGGGUUGCGGACAGUGUCUGGUGGGUAGUUUGACUGGGGCGGUCUCCUCCCAAAGAGUAACGGAGGAGCACGAAGGUUAGCUAAUCCUGGUCGGACAUCAGGAGGUUAGUGCAAUGGCAUAAGCUAGCUUGACUGCGAGCGUGACGGCGCGAGCAGGUGCGAAAGCAGGUCAUAGUGAUCCGGUGGUUCUGAAUGGAAGGGCCAUCGCUCAACGGAUAAAAGGUACUCCGGGGAUAACAGGCUGAUACCGCCCAAGAGUUCAUAUCGACGGCGGUGUUUGGCACCUCGAUGUCGGCUCAUCACAUCCUGGGGCUGAAGUAGGUCCCAAGGGUAUGGCUGUUCGCCAUUUAAAGUGGUACGCGAGCUGGGUUUAGAACGUCGUGAGACAGUUCGGUCCCUAUCUGCCGUGGGCGCUGGAGAAUUGAGGGGGGCUGCUCCUAGUACGAGAGGACCGGAGUGGACGCAUCACUGGUGUUCGGGUUGUCAUGCCAAUGGCAUUGCCCGGUAGCUAAAUGCGGAAGAGAUAAGUGCUGAAAGCAUCUAAGCACGAAACUUGCCCCGAGAUGAGUUCUCCCUGAGACUUUAAGUCUCCUGAAGGAACGUUAAAGACGAUGACGUUGAUAGGUCGGGUGUGUAAGCGUAGCGAUACGUUGAGCUAACCGAUACUAAUGAACCGUGAGGCUUAACCUU